Molecule: ribosomal RNA, 453 nt
Filed under: uncultured bacterium
Lineage: Bacteria
Description: partial 16S ribosomal RNA
Rfam family: Bacterial small subunit ribosomal RNA
Source: RNAcentral
GAUGAACGCUGACAGAAUGCUUAACACAUGCAAGUCAACAUGAACUUCGGGUUGGGUGGCGGACGGGUGAGUAACGCGUAAAGAACUUGCCUCACAGCUAGGGACAACAUUUGGAAACGAAUGCUAAUACCUGAUAUUAUGAUUAUAUGGCAUCGUAUAAUUAUGAAAGCUAUAUGCGCUGUGAGAGAGCUUUGCGUCCCAUUAGCUAGUUGGAGAGGUAACAGCUCACCAAGGCGAUGAUGGGUAGCCGGCCUGAGAGGGUGAUCGGCCACAAGGGGACUGAGACCCGGCCCUUACUACUACGGGAGGCAGCAGUGGGGAAUAUUGGACAACGGACCGAGAGUGUGAUACAGCAAUUCUGUGUGCACGAUGAAGUUUUUCGGAAUGUAAAGUGCUUUCAGUUGGGAAGAAAAAAAUGACGGUACCAACAGAAGAAGUGACGGCUAAUUACGU